RNAcentral lists this ribosomal RNA (460 nucleotides) under uncultured bacterium. RNAcentral describes it as "partial 16S ribosomal RNA". It matches the Rfam family "Bacterial small subunit ribosomal RNA", at positions 338 to 795 of the family's 1533-position model. The record is from RNAcentral.
CCUACGGGUGGCUGCAGUGAGGAAUAUUGGUCAAUGGACGCGAGCCUGAACCAGCCAAGCAGCGUGAAGGAUGACUGCCCUACGGGUUGUAAACUUCUUUUAUACAGGAAUAAAGUGAGGCACGUGUGCCUUUUUGUAUGUACUUUAUGAAUAAGGAUCGGCUAACUCCGUGCCAGCAGCCGCGGUAAUACGGAGGAGUCGAGCGUUAUCCGGAUUUAUUGGGUUUAAAGGGUGCGUAGAUGGGUGGUUAAGUCAGUUGUGAAAGUUUGCGGCUCAACCGUGAAAUUGCAAUUGAUACUGGCAGGCUUGAGUGCAGUUGAGGUAGGCGGAAUGCGUGGUGUAGCGGUGAAAUGCUUAGAGAUCACGAAGAACUCCGAUUGCGAAGGCAGCUUACUAAGCUGCCACUGACAUUGAUGCUCGAAAGUGUGGGUAGCAAACAGGAUUAGAUACCCCUGUAGUC